GCAGUGUAAUAUCCCUCGCUUUUAAAAAUUAUUAAUAAAGAUUUAUAUGUAAAUUGGAGGACCUAUAUGUAAAUAUAGAAAUUACAAGGACUAAACUGCUAAGUUGCAAAAAAAAAGAAAAAAAAAGGGAAAACCGAAAAUUCGGUAUUAUCCCACCGCCUCCCACGCACUCUGUUUCUUCCAGAAACAGAGAGAGCGGUGGGGCGUGAGGAGAAGAAGGAGAGUGGUAGAAGAAGAGAGGAAGAAGAGGGAGAAGAGAAGAAGAAGAAGAAGAAGAAGAAGAAGAGGGAAAAGAAGAGAGGAGGAAGAAGAGGGAGUAGAGAAGAAGAAGAAGGAGAAGAAGAAGAAGAGGAGGUGGCUGCAGCGAGGGCUGCAGCGAGAAGCUGUGGGGCGUGGGGAGAAGAAGAGAGGAAGAAGAGGGAGAAGAGAAGAAGAAGAAGAAGAAGAAGAGAAGAGGAUAGCUGCGGCAAGGCUGCAGCGAGAAGGUGUGUGGGGUUGGGGAGGAAAAAGGGAAGAGGAGAAGAAGAGGGAAAAGAGAGGGAAGAGGGAGAGGAGCGAGAGGUGGCAGCAGCUAGGGCUGCAGCACCUCUGUUUCCUGCAGGUGGAAACAGAGGAGAGGUGUGGGGCGUUCGAAGAGGAGAAGAAGAAGAAGAGGAAGAGAAGAGGAAGAGGAAGCAGGGGAAGAGGUUGUGAUACCUCUGUUUCCUGCAGAGGAAACAGAGGAGAGGGUGUGGGUGACGUCGGGGAGAAGAAGGGGAGGAAGGAGAAGAAGAGAAGAAGAAGAAAGGAAGGAAAAGGAAGAGGAGAAGGGAAGAAAGUAGCUGCGGCUGCGGUUGUGGCAGCUGCAACUGUGGCAGGGAAAGAAGAAGAGAAAGGAAGAAGGGGAGGAGAGGAAGAAGAGUAGGGGCUGCGGCUGCGGCGAUGGCAGCUGCAGUUGGAAGAGAAGAAGGAGAGGAAGAUGAGCAGGGGAGGAAGAAAAGGCUGUGGCCGUGGCUGAGGCUGCGACUGCAGCAUGCAGCUGGGAAAGAAGAGAAGGAAAGGAAGAAGAAGAGAAAGGAAGAAGGGAAGGAGAGGAAGAAGAGAAGGGGCUACGGCUGCGGCGAUGGCAGCUGCAGUUGGAAGAGAAGAUGGAGAGGAAGAUGAGUAGGGGAGGAAGAAGAGGCUGCGAAUGUGGUGGCUGCGGCCGUGGCUGCGACUCCGGCUGCGGCUGCAACGUUGGCUGCGGUAGCUGCGGCAGCGGUGGUGGCUGCAGUAGCUGCAGUAGCUGCUUUUGGGAAAGAGAAAGAGUAGGAACGAGAGAAGGGAAGAAGGAAAUAGUGCAGUGGAAGGGAGCUGCGGUUGUGACCGCAGUUGCGGUCGUGGCUGCGAUUGUGGCAGCGGCAGCGGCGGCGGCUGUGGCAGCUACGUUUGGGAAAGAAAAAAAGAAGGAAUGAGAGUAAGAGAGAGCAGGUGACUGUGCUUCGAUGUUCGACACGUGAUGUAGUUACGAAGAAAGGAAGAAAACGGGAGCACAAAACGAAACAGAGAGAGGACACGGAGAAAAAGUAGAAGGAUUUGGGCUGGCACCUUCUUUGGAUCUUCGGAUCGAAAUCUUUGAAAGGUCAGCUUGUCACUCUUCGAGAUGUUUGAUUUGGGCUGAGGCAGUGGAUAGCUAUUCAGAAUAAUGGGCAAGUCUGGUUGGUUAUUACGAUAUUGUUGUAUAAGUAUGUCUUGUAUGUAAUGAAAUGUUGUCGAUGAACCGAAAUGGAUAUACUGUGUCAAAGUGUUAGGAGAUCUCUCUUAUUUGGAAUUUCAGAAUGUUAAGCCUAAUUUAUGGUGAUAUGAACUUGUGGUGAAUAGUUGGAGUUCUGAUUGUAUAAUUUAUUUAGCUUGUGGAUUUAUAAAUGUUGUUCAUGUUUGUCAAGUUGGCUUGGGUUGCCAUAAAUGUGAAUUAUCGAGUGAUGUGAUAUAUGACUAUAAACUGCACAGGUUUUAUGGAUGUGAAUAUGAAUAGAAUGUUUUCAGUGUCCUCAAACGUUAGUUUGUAUCCUGGAUUGGUCUGUGACAAAAAUUUUAAAAAUCAUGGAUAUUUAGAGGGGCGUGACAGAGGUGGUAUCAGAGCAUUGUUUGAGGAUUACUGAAAUAUUUGAUAUGUUGACGUGCAAAAUAUAUUGAGGUCUAAUGAAACUAUAGUGAUUGGUGGAAAUUUUCUUUGAUGUAUUUUAGGAAUCUAGGAUGACGAUGACAUUUAGUCCUCCUACUUCAUCUGAUUUUGAUUAAUUAAGUGGGAUGAAAGGGGUAAUCGGGGAUAUUGAAUCAGAGUGGCGCAGCGGAAGCAUGGUGGACCUAAUUUCAUUGGUGGUAGAAAAAUGAAUGAUGCAAACAGAGAAGAUAUUUGAUGUACAAAAUUGUUUUGAUGAUCAAAAGAUUUCUUUUGCCACCUUAUAUUGGAAGUAGAGGCUGAUUAUUAUUGGCAACAAUGAAAAGAAUUUUUGGAGAUCAGUGACAAGAAUGAUAAGGACAAGUUUACCAAUAAGAAUAUGAUUGGAAAUGAAUCAGAAAGUAAUGACAAGAGGGUCAAGACAUUUGGAUUUUGAAAAGGAAAGUCACCACCAAAGACUUAAUCAUGUGUGAAUUACAAGUUAAAUUAUGAAACAAGUUUGUGUUUUCGGGUGAUUGGAGUCUAUUUUGCUUGUAGAAAGUUGGAUCAUAAAAUAAAAGUUUGCCCUUUGAACAAGAAGAAAGAGUCACUGCCUCCUAAAUCAUCAGCCCAUGUAAGAGUGUAUGCUAUCACUGAAUAUGAUUCUGAAACUUCUGAAUUAGUGGCCAAAGGUAUUAUGCAUGGUUAUGAAAGAAUGCAAAUAUUUGUUCGACCAUGGGUCCAAUCUACGAUUUGAUUCGUUAUAUUUUGCUUAUCACUUGGGUAUUCAACCUAGACCACUACAUUAUGUGCUAUAAGUAAAUACGAUCAUUGGAGAUUCUUUGAUAACGAAGUUGAAUCUGGUCCUCUUGUCUGAUUCUUAUUGGAGAACUUGAACUUUUGCUGAUUUAGUUCUCCUAGAGAUUUGGAGUUUUGAUAUUAUACUUGGUAUGGAUUGGCUAUCUUCCUAACAUACCAGUAUGGAUUGGUAUAUAACAAAUGAUCACUUUUUGCAUAUUUGAUCAGCCGAUCUUUUAUUUUGAGAGUAUUGGACAUUAUUUAUCUCCUUGCCUAAUGUAUCCCAGGAUGACUUGUUUGGAUUACCUCCAAAUGUGAUUUUGCUUUUGAUUUGGUCCUUGGGACAAUCCUAAAAUCUAAGCCUCUCUACAGAAAGAUAUCAUUUGAGUAAGUGGAAUUAGAAAAGCAACUACAAGGAUUAUUAAAUGAGGAUUUUAUUUGGCUUAAUAUUUCAUCAUGGGGUGCUCCGGUGUUAGUUAAAAGAAAUGUAUGGAACAUUGAGGCUUUGUAAUGAUUAUAGACAGUUGAAUUAGGUGACCAUCAAAAACGAGUAUUUUCUGAAGUAACGACUUGCACGAUUAAUUACAGGGUACGCAAGUAUUUUUAGAAAUUGAUUGAAGGUCGGGUUACCGUCUAUUGAGGAUCAAGGAGGAGAAUAUUUCGGUCACUCGUGUAUAAUUAUGUAAUUGUAUUGUAUUGAUGAAACUAUUUAAGAGUAGGAGGAGGAAAUAAAGAUAUCAUAAUCCUCAUCUUUUCAUCGAUUGAGCUAUGAUCAAUUUAGAGGACUAAAUUUUCUUUUAAGGGGGGGAGAGUGUAAUAUCCCUCGCUUUUAAAAAUUAUUAAUAAAGAUUUAUAUGUAAAUUGGAGGACCUAUAUGUAAAUAUAGAAAUUACAAGGACUAAACUGCUAAGUUGCAAAAAAAAAGAAAAAAAAAGGGAAAAUCGAAAAUUCGGUAUUAUCCCACCGCCUCCCACGCACUCUGUUUCUUCCAGAAACAGAGAGAGCGGUGGGGCGUGAGGAGAAGAAGGAGAGUGGUAGAAGAAGAGAGGAAGAAGAGGGAGAAGAGAAGAAGAAGAAGAAGAAGAAGAAGAAGAGGGAAAAGAAGAGAGGAGGAAGAAGAGGGAGUAGAGAAGAAGAAGAAGGAGAAGAAGAAGAAGAGGAGGUGGCUGCAGCGAGGGCUGCAGCGAGAAGCUGUGGGGCGUGGGGAGAAGAAGAGAGGAAGAAGAGGGAGAAGAGAAGAAGAAGAAGAAGAAGAAGAGAAGAGGAUAGCUGCAGCAAGGCUGCAGCGAGAAGGUGUGUGGGGUUGGGGAGGAAAAAGGGAAGAGGAGAAGAAGAGGGAAAAGAGAGGGAAGAGGGAGAGGAGCGAGAGGUGGCAGCAGCUAGGGCUGCAGCACCUCUGUUUCCUGCAGGUGGAAACAGAGGAGAGGUGUGGGGCGUUCGAAGAGGAGAAGAAGAAGAAGAGGAAGAGAAGAGGAAGAGGAAGCAGGGGAAGAGGUUGUGAUACCUCUGUUUCCUGCAGAGGAAACAGAGGAGAGGGUGUGGGUGACGUCGGGGAGAAGAAGGGGAGGAAGGAGAAGAAGAGAAGAAGAAGAAAGGAAGGAAAAGGAAGAGGAGAAGGGAAGAAAGUAGCUACGGCUGCGGUUGUGGCAGCUGCAGCUGUGGCAGGGAAAGAAGAAGACAAAGGAAGAAGGGGAGGAGAGGAAGAAGAGUAGGGGCUGCGGCUGCGGCGAUGGCAGCUGCAGUUGGAAGAGAAGAAGGAGAGGAAGAUGAGCAGGGGAGGAAGAAAAGGCUGUGGCCGUGGCUGAGGCUGCGACUGCAGCAUGCAGCUGGGAAAGAAGAGAAGGAAAGGAAGAAGAAGAGAAAGGAAGAAGGGAAGGAGAGGAAGAAGAGAAGGGGCUACGGCUGCGGCGAUGGCAGCUGCAGUUGGAAGAGAAGAAGGAGAGGAAGAUGAGCAGGGGAGGAAGAAGAGGCUACGAAUGUGGUGGCUGCGGCCGUGGCUGCGACUCCGGCUGCGGCUGCAACGUUGGCUGCGGUAGCUGCGGCAGCGGUGGUGGCUGCAGUAGCUGCAGUAGCUGCUUUUGGGAAAGAGAAAGAGUAGGAACGAGAGAAGGGAAGAAGGAAAUAGUGCAGUGGAAGGGAGCUGCGGUUGUGACCGCAGUUGCGGUCGUGGCUGCGAUUGUGGCAGCGGCAGCGGCGGCGGCUGUGGCAGCUGCGUUUGGGAAAGAAAAAAAGAAGGAAUGAGAGUAAGAGAGAGCAGGUGACUGUGCCUCGAUGUUCGACACGUGAUGUAGUUACGAAGAAAGGAAGAAAACGGGAGCACAAAACGAAACAGAGAGAGGACACGGAGAAAAAGUAGAAGGAUUUGGGCUGGCACCUUCUUUGGAUCUUCGGAUCGAAAUCUUUGAAAGGUCAGCUUGUCACUCUUCGAGAUGUUUGAUUUGGGCUGAGGCAGUGGAUAGCUAUUCAGAAUAAUGGGCAAGUCUGGUUGGUUAUUACGAUAUUGUUGUAUAAGUAUGUCUUGUAUGUAAUGAAAUGUUGUCGAUGAACCGAAAUGGAUAUACUGUGUCAAAGUGUUAGGAGAUCUCUCUUAUUUGGAAUUUCAGAAUGUUAAGCCUAAUUUAUGGUGAUAUGAACUUGUGGUGAAUAGUUGGAGUUCUGAUUGUAUAAUUUAUUUAGCUUGUGGAUUUAUAAAUGUUGUUCAUGUUUGUCAAGUUGGCUUGGGUUGCCAUAAA
Molecule: long non-coding RNA, 5649 nt
Organism: Musa acuminata AAA Group (dessert banana)
Lineage: Eukaryota; Viridiplantae; Streptophyta; Magnoliopsida; Zingiberales; Musaceae
Exons: 3
Source: RefSeq, a predicted model, not a curated record